RNAcentral lists this small RNA (748 nucleotides) under Pongo abelii (Sumatran orangutan). RNAcentral's name for it is "processed transcript". The record is from RNAcentral. Lineage: Eukaryota; Metazoa; Chordata; Mammalia; Primates; Hominidae.
CGGCGGUGCGGGACGCGCGGGCGACGGGCCAGCGGGAUGGGAGCAGGGUCCCCCGGCGGCCCGCAGCCUCUGGAGCCGCGCUGAAGCCGGGGGCGGGACCAGCGCGGAGCCGACAUGUGUCUGCGCCUCGGAGGCCUGAGUGUGGGCGACUUCCGGAAGUUGCUGAUGAAGACAGGCCUGGUGCUGGUGGUGCUGGGCCAUGUGAGCUUCAUCACAGCUGCCCUGUUCCAUGGCACAGUGCUGCGCUACGUGGGCAGCCCCCAAGAUGCGGUGGCUCUGCAGUACUGCGUGGUCAACAUCCUCUCUGUCACUUCCGCCAUCGUGGUCAUCACCUCAGGCAUCGCAGCCAUCGUGUUGUCACGCUACCUCCCCAGCACCCCCCUGGGCAAGGCGCUGCUGGCUGCCUGCACUUUUGGGAGCUCUGAACUACUGGCCCUCGCACCUGACUGUCCCUUCGACCCCACACGCAUUUAUAGCUCCAGCCUGUGCCUCUGGGGCAUCGCCCUAGUGCUCUGCGUGGCGGAGAACGUCUUUGCUCUGCGCUGCGCUCAGCUCACCCACCAGCUGCUGGAGCUGAGGCCCUGGUGGGGGAAAAGCAGCCACCACAUGAUGCGGGAGAACCCAGAGCUGGUGGAGGGCCGUGACCUGCUGAGCUGCACCAGCUCUGAGCCUCUGACCCUCUGAGAGAUGAUAUCCUGCCCAGGCCCCAUGGCCACCAGGACCCUGUAAGCAGCUCUGCUCUGUGACC